ACGAACGCUGGCGGCGUGCUUAACACCUGCAAGUCGAACGGUAAGGCCCCAGCUUGCUGGGGUACACGAGUGGCGAACGGGUGAGUAACACGUGGGUGACCUGCCCCGCACUUCGGGAUAAGCCUGGGAAACUGGGUCUAAUACCGGAUAGGACCGCACCGUGAGGGUGUGGUGGAAAGUUUUUCGGUGUGGGAUGGGCCCGCGGCCUAUCAGCUUGUUGGUGGGGUAAUGGCCUACCAAGGCGGCGACGGGUAGCCGGCCUGAGAGGGUGGACGGCCACAUUGGGACUGAGACACGGCCCAGACUCCUACGGGAGGCAGCAGUGGGGAAUAUUGCACAAUGGGCGGAAGCCUGAUGCAGCGACGCCGCGUGGGGGAUGACGGCCUUCGGGUUGUAAACUCCUUUCACCAUCGACGAAGGUUUUCUGACGGUAGAUGGAGAAGAAGCACCGGCUAACUACGUG
This 463-nucleotide ribosomal RNA is filed under the name uncultured bacterium. Its description in RNAcentral is "partial 16S ribosomal RNA". It matches the Rfam family "Bacterial small subunit ribosomal RNA", at positions 29 to 507 of the family's 1533-position model. The record is from RNAcentral.